UACGUAGGGGGCAAGCGUUGUCCGGAGUUACUGGGCGUAAAGCGCACGCAGGCGGUCUGCUAAGUUUGGAGUGACAGUUGGUGGCUUAACUGCCAAAGUGCUUCGAAAACUGACAGACUUGAGGGCUUCAGAGGGACACGGAAUUCCGGGUGGAGUGGUGAAAUGCGUAGAGAUCCGGAGGAACACCAAAGGCGAAGGCAGUGUCCUGGGGAGUACCUGACGCUCAGGUGCGAAAGCCAGGGGAGCGAACGGG
Molecule: ribosomal RNA, 253 nt
Filed under: uncultured bacterium
Lineage: Bacteria
Description: partial 16S ribosomal RNA
Rfam family: Bacterial small subunit ribosomal RNA
Source: RNAcentral